Molecule: long non-coding RNA, 530 nt
Organism: Cyprinus carpio (common carp)
Lineage: Eukaryota; Metazoa; Chordata; Actinopteri; Cypriniformes; Cyprinidae
Exons: 2
Source: RefSeq, a predicted model, not a curated record
CUCAUGCGGUGAAGACGCCACAUAAAUACGGUGCUGGGAAUGAAUUGGAUCGUAAGCGCUCCCGAGAACCCCGGUAACCAGAGCAGCCUGGGUGUAAAAUGGGUGUUUUAAAGGUAUGAUGUGUUUGUUUAUUGAAGGGUUUAAAUUAUUUUUUGUAUGAUUAUGUGAAUUUAAGUGAGGUAUGUGAAUUGAUUUAUUUUUGUUUGUUUGUAAUAGAUUGCCUCGGUUUUGAUUUAAUUUGUCCUAAUUUUUGGUUGAAUAAUUGGGUUAUUCAGAAUUGAUUUGUUCUUGAGUUGUUUGGUUUUUUUUCUUUAAGAGAUUGAUGUUUGUGUCAUGCCUUCCUGAGGAAGGUGGAUGGUUAAACUAGAUUUUAGAGCCUUUGUAUCAAUAAAAGGAGUAUUUAUUAGGACCUUUGUGGUUCCUGGUGAUUAAUGAAAGCACCCACACAACAGAAUUUUGGCGACGAGGAUGGGAACCCUAAUUUAGGUGUACUUCCCUUUUCUUUCUUUUUUUUUUUUUUUUUUUUUUUU